AUCAGCUAGUUGGUAGGGUAAUGGCCUACCAAGGCGACGACGGGUAGCUGGUCUGAGAGGAUGAUCAGCCACACUGGCACUGGAACACUGGCCAGACUCCUACGGGAGGCAGCAGUGAGGAAUUUUGCGCAAUGGGGGCAACCCUGACGCAGCAACGCCGCGUGCCUGAAGAAGGUCUUCGGAUCGUAAACGGCUAACUCCGUGCCAGCAGCCGCGGUAAUACGGAGGGUGCGAGCGUGUUCGGAAUCAUAGGGCGUAAAGGGCGUGCAUUCGGUUGGGUAAGUCUGAUGUGAAAGCCCGUGGCUCAACCCCGGAAGUGCAUUGGAAACUGUCCGACUUGAGUACCGGACAGGAUGGGGGAAUUCCCGGUGUAGAGGUGAAAUUCGUAGAGAUCGGGAGGAAUACCAGUGGCGAAGGCGCCCAUCUGGACGGAUACUGUCGCUCCCACGCGAAAGCGUGGGGAGCAAACAGGAUUAGAUACCCUGGUAGUCCACGCUGUAAACGAUGAGCACGGUGUAGCGGGUAUUGACCCCUGCUGUGCCCCAGCUAACCGGCAUUAAGUGCUCCGCCUGGGGAUUACGGUCGCAAG
This 589-nucleotide ribosomal RNA is filed under the name uncultured bacterium. Its description in RNAcentral is "bacterial SSU rRNA". It matches the Rfam family "Bacterial small subunit ribosomal RNA", at positions 240 to 892 of the family's 1533-position model. The record is from RNAcentral.